UGGGGAAUAUUGCACAAUGGGCGAAAGCCUGAUGCAGCAACGCCGCGUGAGUGAUGAAGGUCUUCGGAUUGUAAAGCUCUGUCUUUUGGGACGAUAAUGACGGUACCAAAGGAGGAAGCCACGGCUAACUACGUGCCAGCAGCCGCGGUAAUACGUAGGUGGCGAGCGUUGUCCGGAUUUACUGGGCGUAAAGGGUGCGUAGGCGGAUGUUUAAGUGAGAUGUGAAAUACCCGGGCUUAACUUGGGUGCUGCAUUUCAAACUGGAUAUCUAGAGUGCAGGAGAGGAGAAUGGAAUUCCUAGUGUAGCGGUGAAAUGCGUAGAGAUUAGGAAGAACACCAGUGGCGAAGGCGAUUCUCUGGACUGUAACUGACGCUGAGGCACGAAAGCGUGGGUAGCAAACAGGAUUAGAUACCCUGGUAGUCCACGCCGUAAACGAUGAGUACUAGGUGUAGGAGGUAUCGACCCCUUCUGUGCCGCAGUAAAACACAUUAAAGUACUCCGCCUGGGAAGUAC
RNAcentral lists this ribosomal RNA (514 nucleotides) under uncultured bacterium. RNAcentral describes it as "partial 16S ribosomal RNA". It matches the Rfam family "Bacterial small subunit ribosomal RNA", at positions 355 to 883 of the family's 1533-position model. The record is from RNAcentral.